Molecule: ribosomal RNA, 253 nt
Filed under: uncultured bacterium
Lineage: Bacteria
Description: partial 16S ribosomal RNA
Rfam family: Bacterial small subunit ribosomal RNA
Source: RNAcentral
UACAGAGGGCCCAAGCGUUGUUCGGAUUCACUGGGCGUAAAGGGUGCGUAGGCGGUUGGGUAAGUCUGACGUGAAAUCUCCAAGCCUAACUUGGAAACUGCGUUGGAUACUAUCCGGCUCGAGGAAUGGAGGGGAGAAUGGAAUACUUGGUGUAGCAGUGAAAUGCGUAGAUAUCAAGUGGAACACCAGUGGCGAAGGCGAGUCUCUGGACAUUUCCUGACGCUGAGGCACGAAAGCCAGGGGAGCAAACGGG